GAUGAACGCUGGCGGCAGGCCUAACACAUGCAAGUCGAACGGUAACAGAGAGUAGCUUGCUACUUUGCUGACGAGUGGCGGACGGGUGAGUAAUGUCUGGGGAUCUGCCUGAUGGAGGGGGAUAACUACUGGAAACGGUAGCUAAUACCGCAUAAUGUCGCAAGACCAAAGCGGGGGACUUUCGGGCCUCGCACCAUCAGAUGAACCCAGAUGGGAUUAGCUAGUAGGUAGGGUAAUGGCUUACCUAGGCGACGAUCCCUAGCUGGUCUCAGAGGAUGACCAGGAACACUGGGACUGAGACACGGUCCAGACGCCGACGGGAGGCAGCAGUGGGGAAUAUUGCACAAUGGGCGCAAGCCUGAUGCAGCCAUGCCGCGUGUAUGAAGAAGGCCUUCGGGUUGUAAAGUACUUUCAGUCAGGAGGAAGGGUGUGAAAUUAAUACUUUCAUGCAUUGACGUUACUGACAGAAGAAGCACCGGCUAACUCCGUGCCAGCCGCCGCCGUAA
This 506-nucleotide ribosomal RNA is filed under the name uncultured bacterium. RNAcentral's name for it is "partial 16S ribosomal RNA". It matches the Rfam family "Bacterial small subunit ribosomal RNA", at positions 28 to 523 of the family's 1533-position model. The record is from RNAcentral.